GUACCAUAACCGACACAGGUGGGUAAGUAGAGUAUACUAAGGGGCGCGAGAUAACUCUCUCUAAGGAACUCGGCAAAAUAACUCCGUAACUUCGGGAGAAGGAGUGCCUUAUUCUUAAGGUUGCAAUAACAAGAUCCAAGCAACUGUUUAUCAAAAACACAGGUCUCCGCUAAGUCGUAAGACGAUGUAUGGGGGCUGACGCCUGCCCAGUGCCAGAAGGUUAAAGAAGUCGGUUAGCAAUAGCAAAGCUGGUAACUGAAGCCCUGGUGAACGGCGGCCGUAACAAUAACGGUCCUAAGGUAGCGAAAUUCCUUGUCGGGUAAGUUCCGACCCGCACGAAAGGCGUAAUGAUUUGGAUGCUGUCUCGGAGAGGGACUCGGUGAAAUAGACUUGUCUGUGAAGAUGCGGACUACCUGCACCAGGACAGAAAGACCCUAUGAAGCUUUACUGUAACUUGAAAUUGAAAUUGGACUUUAUUCGCGCAGUAUAGGUGGGAGGCGUUGAUUAUAAUCUUGUGGGAUUAUUGGAGCCAUCAGUGAGAUACCACUCUUGUAAUGUUAGAUUUCUAACUUUGAAUCAUUAUCUGGUCAAAGGACAGUUUCAGGCGGGCAGUUUGACUGGGGCGGUCGCCUCCUAAACGGUAACGGAGGCGUACAAAGGUUUCCUCUGAACGGUUAGAAAUCGUAUCUAGAGUGUAAAGGCAUAAGGAAGCUUGACUGUGAGACCUACAAGUCGAGCAGGGACGAAAGUCGGUCUUAGUGAUCUGACGGUACUGAGUGGAAAGGCCGUCACUCAACGGAUAAAAGUUACUCUAGGAUAACAGGCUGAUCUCCCCCAAGAGUUCACAUCGACGGGGAGGUUUGGCACCUUGAUGUCGGCUCAUCGCAUCCUGGGGCGGUAGUACGUCCCAAGGGUUGGGCUGUUCGCCCAUGAAAGCGGUACGCGAGCUGGGUUCAGAACGUCGUGAGACAGUUCGGUCCAUAUCCGGUGUAGGCGCUAGAAUAUUGAGAGGAGCCUUCUUUAGUACGAGAGGACCGAGAAGGACAUACCUCUGGUGUACCAGUUAUCGUGCCAACGGUAAACGCUGGGUAGCUAUGUAUGGAGUGGAUAACCGCUGAAAGCAUCUAAGUGGGAAGCCCACCUCAAGAUAAGUAUUCUCAUCACGUAAGUGAGUAAGGUCACGGUAAGACUAACCGUUUGAUAGGCAUUAAGUGUAAGUACAGUAAUGUAUGUGCUGAGAUGUCCUAAUAGACCGAGGACUUG
RNAcentral lists this ribosomal RNA (1263 nucleotides) under metagenome. RNAcentral describes it as "bacterial LSU rRNA". It matches the Rfam family "Bacterial large subunit ribosomal RNA", at positions 1644 to 2925 of the family's 2925-position model. The record is from RNAcentral.